GGCGCGCGGACUGGGAGCUGAGCCCCGGUCCUGGCCUGGAAGCCAACUCCUGCUUCCCAGCCUCCUGGCUUAGAAAGGUUGAGGGAGCAAUGACAGGUGUCUUGAGGCUCAAAUGACUGACCAAGGCAGCAGAAGAAGCUGGCCCGGUCGCCUUAGAGCUGUUCUGGACGCAGUAGCAGCACUCACUGGGAUUUGGCUACUAUCAACGGGUGUAGCCCCAGGGACCCUAGAGCAGAGAAACAGGAGAGCGGUUUCCCCAAUGGGAGCCUCCCAAUAAGGUUCCUCUACCCUGCUUUGGAGGCAUGGAGCUGGCCCUGAUCGCCUUCUGGAAUGACUGCUUCACUGCGGCGACUGCCGGCUUGGCACUGCCCCAGAGUCUCCGCUGUCUGGCAAUCCUGGGGAAGAACUGUGCCAGGUCCCACAGACCUAGAGGUGCCGUCAGAGGGGUAGGGGAAUUGGAAACGGUGCCUUUUAGGUCGUUCUUUCAUAUUCAAGUUCCUGCAAGUCCCUCUUACACUAGAGAAGGAAGGAAGGGGUCUGAAUUCACAAGCCCGUGGUCCACACCCAGGCCCAGAUAAUUCUGUUCCAACGCUCCUCAUGCCUUCCUGGUCUCCAGCUCAGUUUCCCGAAUGAGGAAAGCCUGGAAACAAAGCCAGCUAACCACCAAGGACAGUCGAUUCUGAAUACUUCCUCUUCGAUUGAUGCCAGGUGGGGGUUGAAGGAGUCAUUUCUGCAGUGAAAGGGAAAUAAGAUUAGAGCCCAGGGUGACAUCCCGUCCCUCCCAUCCCUCCCGGGUGUACGUGACCAACGCAAACAAACAGACUGUACUUUAAGAAGUCUGGCCCCUGAGGCCAGACUUGGUAGUAACGUAGGCUCUGAGAGAUUAGUGGCCCAGGACUCUCA
Molecule: long non-coding RNA, 903 nt
Organism: Mesocricetus auratus (golden hamster)
Lineage: Eukaryota; Metazoa; Chordata; Mammalia; Rodentia; Cricetidae
Exons: 2
Source: RefSeq, a predicted model, not a curated record